Long non-coding RNA from Pectinophora gossypiella (pink bollworm), 344 nucleotides. RefSeq lists it as uncharacterized. The record is from RefSeq and is a predicted model, not a curated record. The transcript has 3 exons. Lineage: Eukaryota; Metazoa; Arthropoda; Insecta; Lepidoptera; Gelechiidae.
UGGAACCACGCGCUCGCUCCACCCUACAACCCUAUGAUAUCGUUAAAUGAUACCGUUAAUCAACAAUUAAAACCGGUGCGGCAAGUUCAUAAAAUUUAUCAGAAAGUAUUAAAAACUAAAAGUUUUGUGUGAAUGGUGUCUCGCAAAGUUUGUGUGCAAUUGGUUUGUGGAUAAAACAAAUUACUGACUUAAAGUACCUAAAGUGGGGUACGAUGUUAGCGAGGCCUACUAACAAUAUGAUAUUUAAUAAGAUUGGGUGGCGUACUGGCAGAACCAGAAUACCAAGGAUUUGAGGACAGCGUAAGAGCAGGGGAUGCGGGAAGGCGGCGCGGGUGGGAGGGGUG